GACGAACGCUGGCGGCGUGCUUAACACAUGCAAGUCGAACGGAAAGACCCUGCUUUUGUGGGGUGCUCGAGUGGCGAACGGGUGAGUAACACGUGAGUAACCUGCCCUUGACUUUGGGAUAACUUCAGGAAACUGGGGCUAAUACCGGAUAGGAGCUCCUGCUGCAUGGUGGGGGUUGGAAAGUUUCGGCGGUUGGGGAUGGACUCGCGGCUUAUCAGCUUGUUGGUGGGGUAGUGGCUUACCAAGGCUUUGACGGGUAGCCGGCCUGAGAGGGUGACCGGGCAAAUUGGGACUGAGGUACGGCCCAGACUCCUACGGGAGGCAGCAGUGGGGAAUAUUGCAAAAUGGGCGGAAGCCUGAUGCAGCAACGCCGCGUGCGGGAUGACGGCCUUCGGGUUGUAAACCGCUUUCGCCUGUGACGAAGCGUGAGUGACGGUAAUGGGUAAAGAAGCACCGGCUAACUACGUG
Molecule: ribosomal RNA, 468 nt
Filed under: uncultured bacterium
Lineage: Bacteria
Description: partial 16S ribosomal RNA
Rfam family: Bacterial small subunit ribosomal RNA
Source: RNAcentral